UAAGAAGUUCUAAGUCUGAAGCUCAUAUCCUUUCUCUUAAGAACACAGAACUUCACAACUUUAGAGGCUGAAAACUCUUAUGAUGAGCCACCAGAACGGCAGCCGUCUGUCUGCAAGCAUAGCAAUAAGCUUAAAAGGUUCAUAUCACAUGGCUUCUGCUACACUUCCCCCAAGAGCGUCACAGCGGUUUAAUCAAGAAAGCGGCAUCAGCUGUGAGGAAUUGGAAUAAAACUCUUUAAGAAAUGAUCCACAA
Mus musculus (house mouse) is the source of this 253-nucleotide long non-coding RNA. RefSeq annotates it as predicted gene, 31058. The transcript is spliced from 2 exons. The record is from RefSeq and is a predicted model, not a curated record. NCBI's taxonomy places the organism in Eukaryota, Metazoa, Chordata, Mammalia, Rodentia, Muridae.